RNAcentral lists this unclassified non-coding RNA (433 nucleotides) under Bombus terrestris (buff-tailed bumblebee). Its description in RNAcentral is "misc RNA ENSBTSG00005036025.1". Lineage: Eukaryota; Metazoa; Arthropoda; Insecta; Hymenoptera; Apidae. The record is from RNAcentral.
GCAUGCACUACGUUCUGCAUGUAAAAUGCAUGAAAACAGCGUAUAAACACCGAAAUAUCUCAAACGGGAGAGAAAUAAAUCAUAAUUUUCGUCAAAAUCGACCAAUGAUUGCGAUUUGCGUGUGUCUUGGCUUGUUUCGACGCUGGAUAACGCGUGCACUGCGUUCUGCACGCAUAAUGCAGUGAAAAUAUCGUUUAAACGUCGAAAUAUCUCAAACGGGAGAGAAAUAAAUCAUAAUUUUGGACAAAAUCGACGAAUGAUUGCGAUUUGCGUGUGUCUCGGCUUGUUUCGACGAUGGGAAACGCGUGGACUACGUUCUGCAUGUUAAUUCAGUGAAAAGAGCGUUCAAACGUCGAAAUAUCUCAAACGGGAGAGUAAUAGAGCUUAAUUUGCUUCAAAAUCGACGAAUGAUUGCGAUUUGCGUCCGUCUUGG